CCAAGAUGCGUUCCCCAAUUUGGAACGAAAUAGAAACGCGGACAGACUAGGGCUUCCAGCUCCGGUGGCGGACCUCGCCGUGUGCUCCGCUGCGACGCCGGGCGAACGAGCUCGACACGGUACAGCCGUCCAGCUCGCGCCCCUCUCCCACUCCACCGGACCCGACCCAACCCGGCGCCAGCUCCGCCAUCCAUCGACGCUGGGGAAGAAAAGUCAGAUCUUCAGGUAUGAUGUUGGAUGUUAAGGCAUCUGUGCUAUUAUUGCGCUUUCUGGUCCUGAUCCAUCGGUCCCUUUAUAUUGAUUUCGUGAGAUGUAGCUACUUCAGUUACUGCAUUUUUCAUAGGGCCAGCUGAAGGAGACGGUUCUUUAGUCUCCUUUAUGUAUACUGUAGAUUGCUGACAGGCCUAGCUGAAGCAACAAAAGCUUCAGACUUGUAUUCUUGAGAAUACCAUUAUUAGGAGAAAUGUCAGCAGGAAAUCCAUUGAAACAACACCGACUCAGCAUUUGGUAAGCUACAUGUUACAGUUUCCUUUUUAUCGCUGCAAGCAAGAUUCUUUGUGUGGCCAUAUGUUGGUUUUGGAUGAUGAACAGAGCCUUUAGUAAUAGCAUUUGUUACUUUCUGUAAACUUAGCACAGGGAAAUUCAGUGACCCAAAACUGGAUCUCACAUUUAUAUACUUAUAUCAGGAGGCCCCUGAACACUUAGUCUCAUCCUCCGUGAAUGACCCAAACAACAGAACCUAUAUUACAGAAGAAACUAGGAUGAGAACAAAUGAGUAGAUCAAAAACUUGAGCACUAAAAUAGCUUGCGUGGCAUCCAAACAGCAGCUAUGUCAAGAUGUGAAUACAUUAAUUACAAGCUGAAGCAGAGGAGACUAAAGAACCGUCUCCUUCAGCUUGCCCUGUGAAAAAUGCAGUGACUGAAGUAGCUACAUCUCUCGAAAUCAAUAUAAAGGGACCGAUGGAUCAGCAGAAAAAUUGUAUAGUAACUGCUUCUAUAUGAAUUUCACGUCAGCUGUCUGGUCUGUGGAAACUCAAUUCUGGACCCUAUCUGAUCAUACACCACUAAUGAAAAAAUAGCGAUAGUAAAAUUUCAGCAACUUAUGGCCUAAUACUGUACAUAAGUUCGAACAAAUCCAUCUACCACCUGGAUGUGAAGUGCUAGUUGGGACAAGACUGGGAUUCGUCUACCUGUACAAUGUGUGCGACUUCCCUUAUUUCUGGGAGAUCCCUAUCUAUUUGUUAGCACCAGAUGCCAGAUGCCAGAUCCCUAUCUAUUCAUAACACUCUUUUCCUUAGUACAUCCAAAUGCCAGUGCAUUCAGAAAAUUUCUCUCUUCACUACUAUAGCAUGAUUUUUUUAUUGUGUUGCAUGAAAAGCUAACUCUUAGUUGCUCCUGCAUGUACUAUCUAGCAUUUUUAUCUGCACAGAGUAGAGAAUGAUGGAGUCAAUGGCAAGUAUUGCUCCAAGUGCCGGGUUAACUACAACAAUGGGACUUGAAGAUGACGCCAACAACUUUUCCAUGGUAUUUCCUUGAUAUAUUACUCAUGUUCAUAUGUCCAUGUCAUGUCAUGUCAUCCACCUGAGGUUGCAAACACAAAGGGCAGUGGAAAGAGAUUGAAGAGGGGUUCAGAGGAGGCCAUGAACAAAAGGAAGAGGUAAAUCGGAUUGUAAGUAGUAUGUAUUUUGUCAGGUUUUUGUAGAUUGCAGCUGAGGUUUUUUCCUUCUUUGCAGAGCAAGUAGCGUACAAAAAGUUCCAAAUCUGUAGAUUGUUCUAGUUAUCAGGUUCGCCAUGACAGCUAAAUGGUUUAAAUAUCUUACCCCCUUUAGAAAAGCAUGUUGAGUGUUUUUGCAAAUAUUUGACUAGAUUUGUUUUUGAUAUUUUGUAGCACACUUAGCCCAUGGGAGCGGACAUCAUUCAUCUUGUGUUAAAUCAUGAUUGAAAAAUGACUUCAUUCCUGUGCUAUCCAAUGUUGGAGACUUCUGCUAACCUAGUUGAAUAUGUUGGUGCAAUAUAUGUGUACCGGCUACCUUGGGCUAUAAACCACGUUUGGGUUGCAACUCUAGUUAUGUGCUCAUGGUAGAUUUAUAUGUAUCCCUUUAUGUGUACUGUCAUGAGUACUGCUCAGAAAGCAUUCAUGAUAUUUUGUACAAAAAGGUGUGCAAGAACAUAAUAUUGUUGUACUGUUAGCUUUCAAAUACCAAGAUGGAUUUGAAAGUGGUGGAAUGCAUUUCCA
This 2236-nucleotide long non-coding RNA is filed under the name Triticum aestivum (bread wheat). RNAcentral's name for it is "long non-coding RNA (TAES_LNC022039)". Lineage: Eukaryota; Viridiplantae; Streptophyta; Magnoliopsida; Poales; Poaceae. The record is from RNAcentral.